CUAAAACACACGGAAUCGCCGCUUGUUUUCCCUGCCGUUCGGGUAACAACCGGUUAAAACAAUAGAGUCGGCUAAGCAUGUAGAACCGACGGCAGAGAGCUUGCGGACGCGGGUUCGAUUCCCGCCACCUCCACCA
Molecule: transfer-messenger RNA, 136 nt
Filed under: Pseudomonadota bacterium
Lineage: Bacteria; Pseudomonadati; Pseudomonadota
Description: Proteobacteria bacterium partial transfer-messenger RNA
Rfam family: transfer-messenger RNA
About the family: Bacterial tmRNA, also known as 10Sa RNA or SsrA, is named for its dual tRNA and mRNA-like properties. Its role is to liberate the mRNA from a stalled ribosome.
Source: RNAcentral